RNAcentral lists this ribosomal RNA (257 nucleotides) under uncultured bacterium. Its description in RNAcentral is "partial 16S ribosomal RNA". It matches the Rfam family "Bacterial small subunit ribosomal RNA", at positions 333 to 607 of the family's 1533-position model. The record is from RNAcentral.
GAGCGCCUACGGGGGGCAGCAGUGGGGAAUAUUGCGCAAUGGGGGAAACCCUGACGCAGCAACGCCGCGUGCGGGAUGAAGGCUUUCGGGUUGUAAACCGCUUUCAGCAGGGAAGAUAAUGACGGUACCUGCAGAAGAAGCCCCGGCUAACUACGUGCCAGCAGCCGCGGCAAUACGUAGGGGGCAAGCGUUAUCCGGAUUCAUUGGGCGUAAAGCGCGCGCAGGCGGGCCGCUAAGCGCGAAGUCUAAUCUUGGGG